UACGGAGGGUGCAAGCAUUAAUCGGAUUAAUUGGGCGUAAAGGGCGAGUAGGCGGUCUGGUAAGUCAAUGGUGAAAUUUCAAAGCUCAACUUUGAAGCUGCCAUAGAAACUGCCAGACUAGAGGAUGGACGGAGAAAACGGAAUUCCACGUGUAGCGGUGAAAUGCGUAGAUAUGUGGAGGAACACCGGUGGCGAAGGCGGUUUUCUAGUUUAAACCUGACGCUGAGGCGCGAAGGCAAGGGGAGCAAACAGG
RNAcentral lists this ribosomal RNA (253 nucleotides) under uncultured bacterium. Its description in RNAcentral is "partial 16S ribosomal RNA". It matches the Rfam family "Bacterial small subunit ribosomal RNA", at positions 524 to 776 of the family's 1533-position model. The record is from RNAcentral.